This 253-nucleotide ribosomal RNA is filed under the name uncultured bacterium. Its description in RNAcentral is "partial 16S ribosomal RNA". It matches the Rfam family "Bacterial small subunit ribosomal RNA", at positions 524 to 776 of the family's 1533-position model. The record is from RNAcentral.
UACGUAGGUGGCAAGCGUUGUCCGGAAUUAUUGGGCGUAAAGAGCGCGCAGGCGGUCGUUCAAGUCGCGUGUGAAAGCCCCCGGCUCAACUGGGGAGGGUCACGCGAUACUGAUCGACUCGAAGGCAGGAGAGGGUAGUGGAAUUCCCGGUGUAGUGGUGAAAUGCGUAGAUAUCGGGAGGAACACCAGUGGCGAAGGCGACUACCUGGCCUGUUCUUGACGCUGAGGCACGAAGGUCAGGGGAGCAAACGGG